AUGAUAGAUCUAGCAGCUGCAGCAGGAGCAGCCGCAGCUGGUGCCGCACUUGCACUGGGAGCAGCCGCAGCUGGUGCCGCACUUGCACUGGGUGCAGCCGCAGCCGCCGUUCUCCGCCGCCAUCUCCAUGCCGCUGGAGCUCCUGCACGUACCCCAUCCAUACCAAGAUCAACAUACAGUCAUAUUCUCUCUAUUACGAUCGAGUGCAUGAUGAUGUAUGAGCUGAGGAGAAGAGAAGGGACGUACGCCUUGUGGGUGGCGGUGGCGGAGACGAGGAGGGUGGCGCCGGCGGCCUCGGCCUCCGGGUACAUGUUGCAGCCGCCGCAGCCGUUGCCGCACUUGCAGGCGCUGCCGCAGCCGCAGUUUCCUCCGCAGCAAGACAUCGUCGAGGUUGCUUGGGAUUGGAUGGAAGCUUUGAUUGGUGUUGGCUAG
RNAcentral lists this ribosomal RNA (432 nucleotides) under Triticum aestivum (bread wheat). Its description in RNAcentral is "partial small subunit ribosomal RNA". The record is from RNAcentral. Lineage: Eukaryota; Viridiplantae; Streptophyta; Magnoliopsida; Poales; Poaceae.